GUAAAGUUGGUUCUCACUUUAUCUCAAGGACGAGGUAGUAAUUCGUUCCAAUUUUGAUAGAUCUUCAUUUCCCAAAAUUAAGCAAAUCCGGUGUGUGGCUUAUGUCUCCCGGUGAAUGUUGGUUGUAAGUCGUAUUUCAAGUUUGGUGCUCUGUUCCUAAUGUGGGACAUUUUCAAAUAGGAAAAUCCACUUACAAUCUUU
This 201-nucleotide long non-coding RNA is filed under the name Amborella trichopoda. RNAcentral describes it as "long non-coding RNA (ATRI_LNC003519)". Lineage: Eukaryota; Viridiplantae; Streptophyta; Magnoliopsida; Amborellales; Amborellaceae. The record is from RNAcentral.